CAGGCAUGAGCCACUGUGCCCAGCACAAGUUUAUUCUUGAUCACACCACAUGUCCAUUGCUGGUCAGCAGAGGGACUUUGCUCAUUGUGGGUGCUCAGAGAGCCAGGCUGACAGUGUCCAUGUCAACCAGUGCUUCCACCAUUGCUGACAAAGACAAAGGGAAUAUAGUGAAUUGUAUACUGAUAAGGCUUGGAGCUGAAAAUAACACAUGCCAUUUUACUGACUAAUGCAAGUCACAUACCAUAUCUAACUUCAAAAAGGUAGGCAAGUAGUCUAUUUGCCCUAAAAGCAGGAGAACCAGAAUGUGUGGAUAAUCCCAAUAAUGACUAUAAUUUCUAUCUUACCUAAGCCACUGUUAUUUUGGGUUUUCAGCCAAUUGCAUCUGCACUGAAUCCUAAUUAAGAUAGGAAUGAUCACAUCAAUGCUGUGAUAACUAAGCCCUGUGAGGAAGGCUGUCACUGGGUGUACACCUUGUACUCUGAAGGAUUUGCAGGGGUCACUCUCUGUGGCUUUUCUGGGAAAGAAGAAACCACUUCUUUCUUAAGAUCUUCAGUCAUCCUUCAAUCAUUGACAUCUACUACACUGGAGGCAAAUCACUAAGAAUUCCUAUUCCUAAAGUUCAGGCUACCACCUCUAGCUCCUUCUAAGUGUAGGAAAUGUUCCCUAUUCUUUUGAAAACACAAUUCUAGUCUUUUUCUAUUCUGCUUUGUUCCAGCAUUCAAAUCUUAGUCCUUGAGAUCUGUCAUCUUUCCCAGAGGCUCUAAAUAUGUCCUUACCUCUUUCAAUUUGGCAAACAUCUUCACUUGACCCUACGACACUUUCCAAAUCUAUAGACAAAUGAGUCGUUCUACACCUAUUGUCUUCUUGUUUUCCUUUUCUGAAACCCCUGUGAUGAGGCUUCUGUUUGUACCAUUCUACUUAAACUGUCUAAAAAGCCAUUAAUGGCUUAUCAAGAAGCGUUUGUCUAAAACUCUGGAAUUUCCUGGAAACAUGCUUUCGUAUAUUUCACGUAGCGGAAUGGAUAACAGUACCAGAUAAAAACAGUCAUAGAUGUAGUAAAAUAUAGUAGAGUCCUUUCUGCAUUUGGGUCGUAUGGGAAUGCUUUCCGAUCUGCUACAGGUAAAAUCACAUGUCUGUCAGCUCCUGCCCCAAAACACAGGAGCCAUCUGCAGUACAAGGCUGACAUAUUUGUUUCUCUAAAUGAGCUAUAUUUUGCAACACACACAUUCCAUCUGUAAUCCAGAGUGUUUUAGUGUGUGUAGGUGUGACCUAGAAGCAGGCACAGUUCAUUAAAAAACAAAAAGCACCAAAACCUUUUACAGGUUAUUCUCACAGAUAAAAAUUCUAUAGACUACCAACAGAGGAAGUCUUUAUUGUUCCUGGAGAGCUAGACCAUACACAGAUGGAUCAUACUUGCUCUUUGCAAUCUCAUUCAGAAGCAGGAAAAAGGGACGGUAUUGGAUUUGAAUAUGAAGGACAAAAGCAGCUCUGGAGACACCAAGUAAUAGUCUACGUUACAGGUUUAACACAUUCAUUUAAUCUCACUGGGAAAAAUAAUGAAACUGGUGAAAAGUAUUUAUGGAACUGGAUGAGAGCAUAUUUUGCUGGUUUUACUUUAUGUUUGAAGUUUUAGGUAUAGCUAUGCCCAUAAAUACUGAAAUGCCUAGCAUAAAGAACGCAGCCUGGGGCAUACCCCAUAAAACUUACAGUGCAAUUAAAUGAGCAAUUUCCACUGGAAAUAAAACGGACAUGUUGAGUGGAAUAUGAAUUAAACUGCAUAUGACUCAGGCCUUCACUAGGCUUUAGAGAGAGAUCUACUGGUUUCAGUAGCACCUGAUGCCAUCCAUCUAUAGGUCAAGGCCAGUAAGUAACAAAAGAUAACUGUAGUUAGCAUGAAGAUUAGGGCAUACCAAAUUGUGGUUAAUGUAGUUUCCCUGUGAAAGAGCCCAGCAAAAUUACAACUGAUAACAAAGGAUUAAACCUGACCUUUCUUUACACUGCAGACAUAUUGAGCUUCUGCAUUGUUUGCUAUGCAGCAUUUUUGACACUUCCCUCAAACUUCAUUUUCACUUUCUGAAUGUUCUCUCUCAGACCAAAGUCACCCAGGUGCCAUUAUAAAAGAGUUUCUAAGGGAGAUUUCAACUAGAAAAUGAAAAAGCCACCAAAACAAACAUUGGUUUGCAUUCCAGACCACUUUCUGCUCUUGUUCAUUUCUGGGAUCUUACUUGGAGAUUAAAGGGUAAUGAUUCGCUGAUACCCUGAGGGAAAACCAGUUCAGGAGCAGCCUUUGAAAAAACACAUGUAGAAAUCUUGCUGAUAGAGGGAGAAAACAAGUUUCAAUCUUAUUUGUAGUGUAGGGUAAAGCAAGUCCACCCAAGAUAAAGCUUAGCAUUCUUUCUUUGAGGAAUUAGGGUAAGGGUGAAGAAAAGAAAGCUUGAUAUUUUUCUGCCUAUGAAAGCCAGAAGGCGGCUCAGAGAAGCCAGUUCCUUCUUUUCCUCUUUUCCCGAGUGCCAGACCUCUGCAACUCCCAGAGGAAAUGAGGGCAUGGGGUGGGUAAUAGUGCAUGUGAUUGGAAUGAGUAUUCCCAGCCAUUUAAUAUAUUCACAAGUCAAACUAUAAAGUAUUUCUUUAAAAAAAUUAUAGUAUUUCACUGAAGUUUGAAUGUACUUUCUCUUGCCAAAAUAAUCAGUGUCCUUCAUUUUUCUAAUGAUUAAAAAUGUGCUACAUAUAUAGGGAAUUUUUCCAAAUGAAAAAUAACAUUUUCUAUGGCAGCACAUACAGUGCUUGAAUUUUUCACCUUAGAUUGUAUUCUAGCCAGACCUAAACUCAGUAUGUCUUACUUGUAUAAUGAUAAUUCAUGUCGUCAAACCAAAUGCACUGUUUGCUACUCAUUUGCCCAGAAGCCAUCUUUUCCUAAAGUGAGCAAUAUUAGGUGCAUUUGUCUGGCUGGCCGAGGGCUCCUCCCUACAGCUUCUGCAGCCAUGGAAAAGUCUGGAAGGACAGUGUUCGCUUGUACAAGAAGAGGGAAGGACAGCAUGAGAAAAGCAAAAUCUUGCAGCGUCUGUGGUCGGAAGAAGAAAGCUGAAGCUAGUUAGGAGGAAGGAGUGUGUGAGUGAAUUAGGAGCUGAAGCAGUAAAGUAGCUUUCCCUGUGACCCUGAUGUGUCGGGCAUUUAUUUCUGUCUUAGACUAAAGGCAUAAUAAAAAAGGCACUUUAUUUAGGUUAACAGAGCAUUAUAUAACUGGAAAGUUUUACAGUUUUAUAUAUAUAGUGAAUAGUUUGUAGAGGAUAAAAAGACUUCCCUUUGGUUUAUUAUUUGGGUAAGAUAAAAACCCACGAAUUCUUUAAGGAUGCAUUUCUUUCUUUUUCUUUUUUCUGCCUUUUUUUUUUUUUAAGACAAAAGCCUGAAGGCAUAAAAUGGAGUUAUUUUCAUCGGGAUGUCACCCUCGAUGCCGCUGCUUUACUACAUGUUCAUAGUCAAAAUUAUUUGAUGUUUCCCUCGAAUAGCUACGAUCAGUUUGAAAACAGCUUUGUUAAUUAGCAAGAGAUGACGCAAUAUAUCACUGCAUCUUUAGGGCUCUGGCGCCAGCUAGUGGUGGGAGAGGGGAGCCGCCCUGUCGCUCUCAAAUCUGGGAAGGCGUCGGUCUUCUCGCCUCCCGUUAUCCCUCAUCCUCCUCCAUCAGCAUAAUGGGGGAAUCAUUGCAGUGUGGACAGAGAGGAGUAGACGAGAUUAUAGAUGAAAGUAGAGAAAAACGGUGGGCAGGGGCAGGGAGAGGAAAGGCCAGACAAAUGCAAUCAUUUCUCCAAAGGAUUUGAGAAGAGAUCAUUUAUUUGAAAUAUUCCUGCCAUGUUGAUGGAGCAGCUCAAUCUUUUGCCAGUGAAUUUUUAGCGUUUUGUUUUUCAUUUGUAGAUUUGCUUGAACAUAUACUUAGGACACGUUAUAACCAUGGAACUCAUCACAAACACAGCACUGAGGACAUGUUAUUACACGCUUGUGAAAUAGCACAAUCUUCCUUCGCAGAGUGAUGCUGGAAUCCUCGACAGACCCUCUCCUCAGGAGACAUUGGCACAGUAUGAGGGGGACACAUCUGCCGGCAA
Molecule: RNA transcript, 4097 nt
Organism: Cercocebus atys (sooty mangabey)
Lineage: Eukaryota; Metazoa; Chordata; Mammalia; Primates; Cercopithecidae
Exons: 2
Source: RefSeq, a predicted model, not a curated record